CUUGGUGUUACUGCGAAGGGGUGACGGAGAAGGCUAUGUUAGCCGGGCGACGGUUGUCCCGGUUUAAGCAUGUAGGCUGGUUAUCCAGGCAAAUCCGGAUAAUCAAGGCUGAGGUGUGAUGACGAGGUACUACGGUGCUGAAGUAACAAAUGCCCUGCUUCCAGGAAAAGCCUCUAAGCAUCAGGUAACAUCAAAUCGUACCCCAAACCGACACAGGUGGUCAGGUAGAGAAUACCAAGGCGCUUGAGAGAACUC
RNAcentral lists this ribosomal RNA (255 nucleotides) under Klebsiella quasipneumoniae subsp. similipneumoniae. Its description in RNAcentral is "partial 23S ribosomal RNA". It matches the Rfam family "Bacterial large subunit ribosomal RNA", at positions 1443 to 1701 of the family's 2925-position model. Lineage: Bacteria; Pseudomonadati; Pseudomonadota; Gammaproteobacteria; Enterobacterales; Enterobacteriaceae. The record is from RNAcentral.